GGGUUGUGAGGUUAAGCGACUAAGCGUACACGGUGGAUGCCCUGGCAGUCAGAGGCGAUGAAGGGCGUGCUAAUCUGCGAUAAGCGCCGGUAAGGUGAUAUGAACCGUUAUAACCGGCGAUACCCGAAUGGGGAAACCCAGUGUGAUUCGUCACACUAUCAUUAACUGAAUCCAUAGGUUAAUGAGGCGAACCGGGGGAACUGAAACAUCUAAGUACCCCGAGGAAAAGAAAUCAACCGAGAUUCCCCCAGUAGCGGCGAGCGAACGGGGAGGAGCCCAGAGCCUGAAUCAGCAUGUGUGUUAGUGGAAGCGUCUGGAAAGGCGCGCGAUACAGGGUGACAGCCCCGUACACAAAAGCGCAUGUGCUGUGAGCUCGAUGAGUAGGGCGGGACACGUGGUAUCCUGUCUGAAUAUGGGGGGACCAUCCUCCAAGGCUAAAUACUCCUGACUGACCGAUAGUGAACCAGUACCGUGAGGGAAAGGCGAAAAGAACCCCGGCGAGGGGAGUGAAAAAGAACCUGAAACCGUGUACGUACAAGCAGUGGGAGCACCCUUUGGGUGUGACUGCGUACCUUUUGUAUAAUGGGUCAGCGACUUAUAUUCUGUAGCAAGGUUAACC
RNAcentral lists this ribosomal RNA (619 nucleotides) under Salmonella enterica subsp. enterica serovar Enteritidis. Its description in RNAcentral is "partial 23S ribosomal RNA". It matches the Rfam family "Bacterial large subunit ribosomal RNA", at positions 1 to 651 of the family's 2925-position model. Lineage: Bacteria; Pseudomonadati; Pseudomonadota; Gammaproteobacteria; Enterobacterales; Enterobacteriaceae. The record is from RNAcentral.